Corvus hawaiiensis (hawaiian crow) is the source of this 1131-nucleotide long non-coding RNA. RefSeq lists it as uncharacterized. The record is from RefSeq and is a predicted model, not a curated record. The transcript has 3 exons. NCBI's taxonomy places the organism in Eukaryota, Metazoa, Chordata, Aves, Passeriformes, Corvidae.
AAGAGAAUUAUUCUGCAGUUCAAUGAUGUGUAUAAUUUCAACCCACUGUCACAGAUUCACUUUCUGGUACUGUGGCAGAGUAGGAAAAGGAAACAACUGAAAAGACUUACUAAAAGCUAUGUGAGCAGAGCCUGAUGCACCCACGAGCUGUCUGGCAAUGUUAACCCUGUGCAUCAGCAUAUCCAGCUGCAAUCUGUAGAUCACUCCUUCAGGGACCCCGGUAAUUUAAAUUCAUGACAGGAAACCACACAUGGGAAAAGAGUACUCAGCUACUUAAAAAAGGAAAACAAUGUCACUGAAGAGCAGAUCUCAACAACUCUACCCAGUUUCGUCUUUCAUAAAACUUUAAUACAAUUAACUAAGGAAGUGAUUUACAUCUAAACACUCUCAUUGGCUGCAAAAGACUUCUGAAUACCAUAGUGAAAAUGAAUCAAAAUAAUAACACGUUCUCCCUGAAGGCGUGGUUAUUCUUCUCUUUCAGGAGACCAGCCUAGCAAGCAAUCACUGUUUCAGGGCUAAAUUCUGAAGGAAACAAGUUUUAAAUAAACGAAUAUGGGAGAGAAUGUGAAAAAAAAGGUAUAGGUUUUCAGACAUAUAUUUUGGACAAUGUGGGAAAUUCACAUCUCUACUCACUUUCUGGAAGAUCCAACUGUGUCCUCCAAGCCUGAUGAAGAUUCUCUGUGUUUUCUUUCCUUUUCAAUUAGAAGCCCUCGUGAAGUUUCCCACUCAUGCUUUACCCAGGACUUUGGAAACAUUGGACAUCCAGGAAAGUAAUCUAAGAAACUGGUAACUUCAUUUACGAUGUGGCAAGAAUCUCUAUCAACCACUGGCAUUAGGGAGGAUAUAUGUAUUUCUAUAUUCUAAAGUGGUCAAAAUUCUUCAGACUCUAUUUCGGUAUUUUGAGCAUGAUAUUCAUCUGUGAUGGAAUGAUAAGUGCAUCUUUCACUCAUUUGGCAAAGAUUCAUGACUGCCGGUUGAACUCAUCACUUAAAUUAUUUUUUUUUUGGAGCUGUGCUCUUUCACAUAAUGGCCCCUUUCACUUUAUGUGCAGCAAGAUCAAUUUGAGGUCAAGUUUUUUCUUGCAGAGUUAAGCUGAAAGCAAGUUGUUUUGAACCACGCAUUACUCUUUGU